GUACUUUGAAUUCUACCACAUGGGACGCUCUCUGUAUAAUUGACUAAUACUGGGUAAAUACUUAUCUCCACCUGGGUUGAUCUCCUCCCUAUGUUAUCUCUCCUCUUUGUGCACCACAAAAAGUUGUGAAUUGUUUUGAAUAACUCAUGGAUGUUUACCUUGCUAUGACAUGUGCAUUGCAGAAUUUGGUGAAUAAAUAUGAUCGUAUCUGCUAUGCACAAAAUGAACAACUUCACAUGUUUGAACAGCAUACAAUUCACUGUUCAGGCUUUAAUGAUUUUGUCUUUUGCAUAGAACACAUGUGGCAUGUUCUUGCACCAAAUUUUGCAAGUUUACAUGUUAUAGCAUUGUAAGCAUUCAUGUUUUUCAAACGAUUCGCAACUUCUUUGUGUGCAAAGAGGGAGAAUAUAGGGAUGAGAUCCACCCUGGUUGAGAUAAUCCGCUUUCGCUAAUAAUGCAGCUAUAUUACAUGACUCCACGUGUUAAUUUAUUCUGAAAUUUCGGUAAUACCACUUCAAUAAUUAUAAUUUAGAAAAUGUAACCAUGGAGGCAGUCACAGUUACAAAAAGUAUGACUCCAAAAUUUUCUUUAGGCGAUAGAGUUACAUGCUAUGGUAUUAGCUUUCUGUUCUGUUUUUUUAUCAGUUCGCCCAUCAAUUUGGUUUUAGGCAAGAUUUUGUGUCUAGCAUUUUUGUUGGUGUAUGCUGCCACUAUUUACACCUCUAGGACGUGUAGUCGUAAACUAAAGGGCGCCUCCACCCCAAGUACGUGUUAUGGUUACUUCGCCACUUGUCAGCCUGGUAGCACCACACAUCGUCUGGCCCUUACAUCUUCUUUAUCGCAACUGGCUAAUUUAAGCAUGGAGUACAGAUCUGGACGGCACAGUCCUAGAUGGUGGAAUUGAAGUAAUCCUAUCAUGGACUGCCCUGAUUGUGGUUUUAUGUGUGCAGAACUUGAAAGAAGUACCUCCUGUAAUGCAACAGACGUUGCAUCCAGUAAUUAGUUGCUGCUAACAUGAACCUUAAGUUGUAGACUGCUGUUUAACUUUCCAAAUCUACAGCCUGUGCGAUAAACUGGAACAUAGUGUUGUAACUAAACCAAAUUUUGUUAGAAUCUGCAACUUAUCAGAAGUUCAAAACAUGAAAUUCAUAGCAGCAACAAAAUUUACAUAGGUUCGGCUGUUAUGCAUGAUGUGACCCUAAGAACAGGGUUUGAACUCUUGCGGUUUUAUCAUUUGGUGCGACAUUUAGACUAAUAAAGCUUCCAUUAUUGAAAAUUGGUGAGGCCCAAGAGGACCUGUUGGCUGGCGAGGAGAAAUAAUGAGGUGGCAGUAUGUGAUCCACCAUCAUAGUGAAAUUGGAAAGAGAAGUGGUGUACCAUGUACUGCAAUUAUGACCAAGGCUAUGGAACUGGAGGGCAAAGAAGCAGGCAUCUGGACAACCUGAGAUGUGAUUUUUUUUUUCUUGCCCAUAAAGCAUAGAACUGAAGUACACUAUCUUACAGAAUAAACUUUAAAUACUCAAAUAAUUUAGAACUGGAGUAUCAACCACAUUUCAAUAAUGUAAAAAAGCCAGAUAUUCCAUUCCUCAAAUAAUUACUUUA
Brachypodium distachyon (stiff brome) is the source of this 1601-nucleotide long non-coding RNA. RefSeq lists it as uncharacterized. The transcript is spliced from 2 exons. Lineage: Eukaryota; Viridiplantae; Streptophyta; Magnoliopsida; Poales; Poaceae. The record is from RefSeq and is a predicted model, not a curated record.